AAGGACUGAGGCGGAGGCCAGCCUGGAGGCGGAGGCCAGCCUGGAAGUCCUGGAUGCGUCCAACCUGGAAGGGGCAGCAUGGAGGGGCCAGGUGGCGGCUCCUCAUCCAGUAAAGUUAAACUCUUCUUCAGUGCAUCAUGAAAGGGGAGAAAUGUUCCAGUGUGCAACUGGAACUUGUCUCUCACAUUACAGAAGGGCCCAGAGGCGGCCAACCUGGAAGGCCUGGAGACGGCGGAGGUCCUGGAGGCGGAGGCCAACCUGGAGGUCCUGGAGGCGGUGGGCCUGGAGGCGGCGGCGGCAGCGGCCAUCCUGGAGGCGGACUACCUGGAGGUCCUGGAGGCGGAUUGUGGAGACCAUCCUGGAGGGCCUGGAGGUGGCGUCCACAUGGUGGCGGCCGGCCUGGAGGCGGUGGCCAACCUGGAGGUCCUGGAGGCGGUGGGCCUGGAGGCGGCGGCGGCAGCGGCCAUCCUGGAGGCGGACUACCUGGAGGUCCUGGAGGCGGAUUGUGGAGACCAUCCUGGAGGUCCUGGAGGUGGCGUCCACAUGGUGGUGGCCGGCCUGGAGGCGGUGGCCAACCUGGAAGUCCUGGAGGCGGUGGGCCUGGAGGCGGCGGCAGCGGCCAUCCUGGAGGCGGACUACCUGGAGGUCCUGGAGGCGGAUUGUGGAGACCAUCCUGGAGGGCCCGGCGGCGGCGUCCUGGAGGGCCCGGAGGCGGAGGCUCCUCAUCCAAAGAAAUGAGGCGACGUUGCGGAGGUCCAGGCGGUUGGCCCGGUGGAGGUCCUGGAGGAGACGGCCUGGAGGUGGAGGACGGCUGGGGGAUCCGGCGGUGGAGGUCCGAAGGCAGCUCGUGUUUAGACCAACCAGCUCCUCAUCCAUGGAAGGUAAGCUCCUUCUCCAGGUCAAUCUGAUCAACGAGAAAAUCAAAGAACGGAGCCAUGAACUGGUGGUAUCGCCAUUUGGGGCCUAAACUCUAAUGUUUGACUCAAGUAACUGCAGUGUUUCCCCCAGCACUGUAUGGUUAAGGCCGUCUUAACAGUAGGGCCCCACCUUGACUACCAAUGUAGAAAAAUUAUAUAUAAAAAAUAAUUAUGCAAUAACAAAGUGCAAAACUCGUAGGGAAAGAGAACAUGCUUUCCUCAAGUACAAAAAAUAUAGAUAAAUAAUUUGUUGGUAAUACUGUAUACUGUUCAAAACAAUAGUCGUGCCAUAAAGCAUUUUGAAUGCAAUUAAAAAGGCGGUUGUAUGUAUUAUUGCGAACUGAAACCCUCACCGAAGACCCCCCCCCACCACCUUGACUAAGACAUUGUCUGGGGGAAACACUGAACUGGGUUGUAUCACUUAGUAGUGAGUACACUAGGGUAGCUGGGUUAUCUCCAAAUGGUAACUGAGUGUUUGCUCCAGCAGGAUUGAAGGAGUCACUGGGGAUGAAGAUCACUGCUCAGGGGCUGACGACCCCCCCCCCCCCCCUCCUCAUCUUUCUGGAGAAGGUGUAUAAAUCUACAGCUGAUGUGAUUAAAGUUCUGCAGUUCAGAUCCGCUGAUAAAUGGUCCCAUACCGUAUCCACAGCGUCCUCAUGGUGCAGGCGGUCAAACCUCCACCUCUUUGAAGAGACCAAGCAGCUUGAUGACUGACUGGUUCCUUAUACUCAGGACCUCGAGCAGAGGAUAGACCUAAGGCCUACAGCGCAGCAGACUAGAGACUCCAUGUGGAACCGGUAAGAUACUGGAUUCAACAUCUUGAAGACAUUUUCAUUUAUUCAACAGGCUUAGUUUUGUUUGGCGGGUAUGUUGCUUUGCUUCUAGGGGCUUCUUCUGUAACAAACUUUCUAGAGAAUAAGAUCCGACUUCAGCCAAUCAGUGGGAUGUCCUUGAACAAGAGCCAAUGGCUGAAGGUGCUCAAACGCAUUCUUUUGACUCGCUCCUCUACUGUUGCUGUAAUCAAGCUGGAUCGCUAUUUUGCUCCUUCUACUGACAAAAUCAAGUCUGCCACCUGGUGGCCGAUGAGGGCGUAGCAAAUCGGGGCACAUUGGAAACAUGAUAAGAGCCUGUUUUUGAUGGUUGGAUCGUACACCUAAAUGUUUUUACAUCAAAAUAUCACCGAACCCCAUGUUGGACAAUGCUUGUUUUCAUCCUUUCUAUGUUUAGCUUUGAUUUAUCCUUACCUUUUCAUGUGACCCAUUCCCCUUAGGUUCAAUUAAGUUGACCUCUCCUUCAGGCGACUUAAAGGGAGACCAGAUGUGCGGCAGCUGGGUGUCAUGGUGCAGAGACCCAACGCUGGUAAAUAUUUACUUCCUCCUUGAACAGACCUAACACGUCAAACGGCAAUUAUAUAAUCCCUCCUGAUCUUUAUAAAGGUCUGAAGACCAGUCUUUUCUGUGAACAUCUCCACUGAUGAGUGUGCUCUUAAUUAAAUUAAAGUUAAUUAAAUGCAGUAACUCCAAUGCACCUGGAGGCUCGUAUUGACAUUUUUUGAAACCUGGUUCUCCAGCACUAGGACUGUUGCGGUAAAUAAAUGUUUUUUUGCUAAUUUAAGUCUAUGAAAUCAAAUGCUGAUUGAGACCAGAUGGGGCUGUUCCUGCAUUUAUAGACAUUUCAUUGCCCUUGAAACUGAUUCUACUUUUUGCAUCAAUUUACUUCACAGUACUGAACUACACCAGUGUGUCCUACUCCCCAUAAACCCUGAGGAUCCCUGGCUACACCAGCACAUUAAUCCACACCCAACAUUAACACACAGUGCACACUCUAUAGAGCUUGUAAGUCCGCCCCUUGCGGCGGGACCUCGUGAGAUCGUAAAAUAUGACUGGGUUUCAAUGGAGAGAAAGUAAAUAUUUUCUCCAUUAUGUUGCACCACAUUUUGGGGGAAGAAUGUUUGAAUCAAUCUUUGUCAUUUAUUUCUGUACUCCAUAUCUGUAAUCCCAGCUGUUGUAUUUUAACACGGUAGCUGGGAACCCUCUUUAUAGGGAGCGACUAGAGGGACGAGGCUGGAAGCAAACCUGAGCCUGGAUCUUAACCUUCUUUCUAAACCUAAUGCCGCAAUUUAACCUCAAAUAAAGUGAGGCCUAAAGUAACUUGACUCUCUUGCCUAAACUCGCUUGCAUAAAACCUGAACUUGCUUGGCUAAACUCGCUUGCCUAAUACCUGAACUUGCUUGCCUAAACUCGCUUGCCUAAUACCUGAACUCGCUUGCCCAAUACCUGAACUUGCUUGCGUAAACUCGCUUGCCUAAUACCUAAACUCGCUUGCCUAAACUCGCUUGCCUAAACUCGCUUGCCUAAACUCGCUUGCCUAAACUCGCUUGCCUAAUACCUGAACUUGCUUGCCUAAACUCGCUUGCCUAAUACCUAAACUCGCUUGCCUAAACUCGCUUGCCUAAUACCUGAACUUGCUUGCCUAAACUCGCUUGCCUAAUACCUGAACUCGCUUGCCUAAUACCUGAACUUGCUUGCGUAAACUCGCUUGCCUAAUACCUAUUACUCGCUUGCCUAAUACCUGAACUCGCUUGCCUAAACUCGCUUGCCUAAUACCUGAACUUGCUUGCAUAAAACCUAACGUGCUUAGCUUGACUCGCUUGCCUGUACUCGCUUGGCUAAACUCGCUUGCCUAAUACCUGUAGUCCCUUGCCUAAAACCUAAACUUGCUUGUCCAAACACGUUACACAAAGUUAACCAUCCAUAAUCUUUAACCCAAACCAGACUUGUCCCUGGGUCGCUCCACUUUAAUUAAGAAGUUUCUUCUUUUACCUCAUCUGCGUUUUGAGUUUCAUUCUUUGAGGGCUUGAAGUGCUUUGGAGGAUAUUUGAACCUUUGUUCGCCAAAUGUUCAGUGUCCUUGAAUGUAAUGUCUAUGGUCUGACGAUAAUCUGACCUCUUCAUGAAGCAGAAUGUGUGUGAAUGUUGUCCCGUGAGCUCCAGGCUCUCUGUGGGCCUGUCAACGUCUCUUUAGCAAAAGGUUGGAGAGUGAAAUUCAUUUUUGUGCCAUUUUCAUGUGUUCCUGAGUAUUUCAGACCUGUGGUGUUUCACAUGAGACCUUAAUGGGAACAUUUCUUUUUCUGCCUGCAUACGUAAUGCCUACAUUAGUAGGGUGAUCACUGUUGAUCCCAAUAUUGUUCAUUAACCACCUCAUUCUUGUAUGAUUUUUUUCGAUAAGGAUUACAAAUCAUGUAAUUUGAGCAUAUUUGCAAAUGGCUCCAAAUAUCAGAUUGUGUAAACGAAUGAAAUGUAACCUGCUUGAUUUAAAGAAAAUAAAACAUCCAAAUAUUAUAAACCUGUUUUGUGUUGCUCUCUUACAUGUGGAAAUAAAACGCAGAUAGAUAUGUUUAGCUCUGAUUUGCUGCCUCCUUUUGGUGUGGUGCUGGGAUUUGUUUAAUAUACUAUUAUCAUUGCCAGGAUAAGUUAAUAACCUAGUAUAGCCUACCCGGAAAAGAAGGGAUAUGAUGGCCAGGGCAGGCUGUUUCGGUGUCCUGUUAACAUAUUGUGAGCGGAUUUGUGAACAUUCUCGGUGAAGGAAAUUCAAUUGCAAACGUUAAUCAACAUGCAGGACCAUUCAGCGAACACUUCACAUAUUUCUC
Long non-coding RNA from Gadus morhua (Atlantic cod), 4565 nucleotides. Lineage: Eukaryota; Metazoa; Chordata; Actinopteri; Gadiformes; Gadidae. The record is from Ensembl.